RNAcentral lists this ribosomal RNA (874 nucleotides) under uncultured Nitrosospira sp. RNAcentral describes it as "bacterial SSU rRNA". It matches the Rfam family "Bacterial small subunit ribosomal RNA", at positions 9 to 873 of the family's 1533-position model. Lineage: Bacteria; Pseudomonadati; Pseudomonadota; Betaproteobacteria; Nitrosomonadales; Nitrosomonadaceae. The record is from RNAcentral.
AGAGUUUGAUCAUGGCUCAAAUUGAACGCUGGCGGCAUGCUUUACACAUGCAAGUCGAACGGGGUGGAGGGGCAACUCUUCAUUCAGUGGCGAACGGGUGAGUAAUGCAUCGGAACGUGUCCCGUAGUGGGGGAUAACGCCGCGAAAGUGGCGCUAAUACCGCAUACGCUCUACGGAGGAAAGCAGGGGACCCGCAAGGGCCUUGUGCUAGGGGAGCGGCCGAUGUCCGAUUAGCUUGUUGGUGGGGUAACGGCCUACCAAGGCUGCGAUCGGUAGCUGGUCUGAGAGGAUGAUCAGCCACACUGGGACUGAGACACGGCCCAGACUCCUACGGGAGGCAGCAGUGGGGAAUUUUGGACAAUGGGGGCAACCCUGAUCCAGCCAUGCCGCGUGCGGGAAGAAGGCCUUCGGGUUGUAAACCGCUUUUAGCCGGGAAGAAAAGGCAGAGGCUAAUACCUUCUGUUUUUGACGGUACCGGCGGAAUAAGCACCGGCUAACUACGUGCCAGCAGCCGCGGUAAUACGUAGGGUGCGAGCGUUAAUCGGAAUUACUGGGCGUAAAGCGUGCGCAGGCGGUUCGUCGUGUCCGAUGUGAAAGCCCCGGGCUCAACCUGGGAACGGCAUGGGAAACUGGCGAACUGGAGUGUGGCAGAAGGGGGUGGAAUUCCGCGUGUAGCAGUGAAAUGCGUAGAGAUGCGGAGGAACACCGAUGGCGAAGGCAGCCCCCUGGGCUGACACUGACGCUCAGGCACGAAAGCAUGGGGAGCAAACAGGAUUAGAUACCCUGGUAGUCCACGCCCUAAACGAUGUCAACUAGGUGUUCGGGAAGCGAUUUCUGGGUACCGUAGCUAACGCGUGAAGUUGACCAAUCACUA